AAUCUUAAGAGCACUCAACCUCAGACUACAACAACACAGAUCUCAGAUCUGCAGUAGAGAUUCCCUCAUCUCAGCUCAUCACAAGAUAAUGCAAAAACAGAAUUUAAAGAAAAUUAAUGCAUGGCAGAAGAUCUAUGGAGCAUCACAAACUGCAGGAGAAUUAAAAAUUAAGACAAGAGAGGAAGAGGAAAAUGGCAAAGAAAGAUUAUGGGAUACAAAUCCAGGAGAGAAACAGAUCCUGAGAGUCAGACGAAACAGCAUUAACAGUGGAAAACCAAACUUUUCUCAAGAUCCAGACAGUUUCAUUCUGAUGUUUCAGAUGACUCACAUGUGACUCACAGAUGAGGUGUAGUUCAUUUUACCUGACCAGCAAAAUAUUUCUUAAUAUUCAAUCACACAUUACGCAAUGCAUAUUUUAUAUUUCUUAUAUUUUAGCAAUAUUCAAAAUAAUAUAGACCUAAAUGAUACAUCAACUAUCAGGUAUAUAGUUAAAGAUAUAGGGAAUGUAUGUCAUAAAUAUAUUUAUAUAUAAUGUCUCUUCACAUCCUAAUAGCUAUCUAUUAUUAUAGUUGUCUAAAUAUUAAUAAACAAAAACAUGCUAAAGUCUCAGGUCCAUAAAAUAUUUGUCCAAUCAGCUCUCACGUUUUCAAGUUUAGACAAGCUGUAAACAUGUCUAAAAAUUUUGACAGCAGGGGAAGGAGCAACGGACGAAAGGGACAGUUGCAAGUUUGUUUGAAAGCAUUUAUUUUUAUAAUUGAGGUGCCACUAGUGUUGCAGAAACUACAUACUUAAAAUCAGGUGCUAUUACAGCUACGAUAUAUCACGAUAAUGAAUAUACACAAUAUUGUUAUCGUGGGAACUUCAAAAUACCGUGAAUAAUUAUUAUUAUGAAUUAUGAAUAUUUAUACUUUAAAAAUACUUUCCCCAUCAACCGUAUAAAAUGCACAACACUGCUGUUUUCUGCGUCAAAAGAACACGCGCUCAGAUGUAAACAAGCCCAACAUGCAUAUGAAGCACAUGGCGGAACGAGUGAAGGAGACGCGCUGAAUGAAAGUGCACGUUCACUCUCUGACAGCAGAGGGCGCUGAUGGAACAGCAGAAGUGCAGCGGUUACCCCAGAAACAAAACAACUGCGCUAGUGAACAGUUUUUAAAAUGCUUCAAACAGCUAUUCAUUUUUUUGUAAUCUCAAUGUUGUUCAUCACAGCACCAAAUACUUAAUACUUAAAGACUUAACAGGCUAUUUACUUUCAAACUUAAACAUUUUUAUAUUUUAAUCUGGACUACAACAUGCCCUAAUGAUUGAAAAUGUUCUGAUUAUUUGUUAUUGUUCUGUAACACUUAGUGACAUAAGGCUUCAUUAACAAAUUCAUUAUUACCAAACUGACAAUGAAAAAUACUUAUAAAGCAAUAAUUUAAACAACUUAUUUAAUGGACCUGAGCUAAAACUAACAAUGAUCAGUUGUAUUUUUUAACAUUAACGAAAAAUAAUAACUUCUGUAACAAAUUGCUCAUUCUUAAUCUUAGUUAAUGCAUUAACUAAUGUUAAAUAAUGAGACCUUAUUGUAAAGUGUUAACUGUUGUUCUUUAUAAUUCUUUUGCACAUGAAACAUUUUACUUUAGAUUUUUUUUUAUGUAUUGUAUUGUGUUAUUGUAUUUAAAUGUUCUUUCUGUUAUAAGAACCUGUAUGACAACACUUUUUUGCAACUUAUUUCAAUAUCGUGAUAAUACCGUAUACCGUGAUGAAAGCUUCAGCAUUUAUCGCAACAUGAAAAUUUGAUACCGUCACAUGCCUAAUUACAGCAUAAGAUGUGAAUGAAGGAGUUUUCUGAAAGAAUCUGAUUAUCACUGUAAUCACUGUUUUUAAUGCUUGAAAAGAUGCUAUAUAUAGGAGCAACAGUAUUUAUUUUUGCACAUUUUUAAAACUGAUUACAACAUUUUAAAAUAAUAAAAAUAUGUAUAUGUUUUUUUUUUUUUAAUGUAAUGAUUCUGUAUUUGCCUGUGGCACACAGUCUUUCUAUUUCAAAACUGCAUAUUUUGUUUAAUGUGCACUUCCUUUGUAAUUAACUGUGAAAUUUAUGAGUGCAAAUCGUUUCUGUGCCAAAUAGUUUUCAGUGUACUCCUCCUAACUGUUAUUAUCCUGAUAAGCACAAUUCACUUGUGAGUGGAUGUAUAAUAUCAUACAAAAGGAAUGAUUGACAGGACUGAGUCAACCUGUGAUUCAACAGCUUGGAUCCAUGCGGAUCAGAGGAAAACACCUGCUGAACAUGAACAUUCUUGAGAUUUAUGGUUAGAAAGUGUUUUUUGGCACUAUGUAACCUUCAAAACCCUCAUGGCUUGUGAUUCACUGUGAUUCUCCAUGUCAUUACAAGAGCCUGCAGGUAUCUGCAGGUAAAGACAUUUCAUGUUUUUAAUAACUCAUGCAUCUAUUUUGAAUUACUGUAGCCUAUAAUGAUGACAGUACACUGUAAUAUCUUUGCUUCAUGUUUAGGUUUAAUUGAGAACAGGCUAGUUGUCCCAUUGGGAAGUUUUCACACAGCUUUAAUUUCAACAACUAACUCAGGGCUUUGAGUCAAAAGUACAUUUAGUCAAUUUUUCAUUUUCAAAUAGCUCAUUUUAAACUGAAUUGAGAUAUUCUAAAGUACAAUUUCAAUAGCAUCAUAUUUUUUUGUAAUUGUUGUUUGAUUAACACAAUAAAACCCCUUUGACAUCAAGACAAGAA
Ctenopharyngodon idella (grass carp) is the source of this 2721-nucleotide long non-coding RNA. RefSeq lists it as uncharacterized. Lineage: Eukaryota; Metazoa; Chordata; Actinopteri; Cypriniformes; Xenocyprididae. The record is from RefSeq and is a predicted model, not a curated record. The transcript has 4 exons.